UUCCUGUGGGGCUGGUCUUAAACACCACUUCCUGCAGGUUUCAGGCCUUUUGCCAGAUGAGCUCUGUACAAACAAAUGGGGGUAAUUAAGGGAACAGCUGUGUACUGUCUGACGACUCGUCUUGCCGCCGCCACACUUCACGAGAACGCCGGCGAGGAAGCCGUCAUCACAGGUGCACGGUGUGUGGACGUCUCACCACACCCUCUCCACAGCCAUUUACACUACAGCUGCAGUCUCAGCUUCUGUAGGUUGGACCCGUCCCUCAGCUUGACUCAGCGUUAAGAGCAAAGCCCCCGAUGGAUGUGACUCCGAGUUCACAUGCAUUAACGUUCCACUCGACGCCACUGGUUCUCUCCUCAGUCACACCACAAUCAGCCCUGACGUCCUCACCACUUGUGUCCUCUGCGAGUCCAGGCAUGAGAUGUGUGCAGCCAGCCAGGAAGAAGCGAGGCAAUAAAGAGCAAAACAAGCUGGUGUGCAGCACCCAGACAUCCAGCAGAUAAUCUGGCCUUUCUGUAUUAGAGGGGAAGUGGACCGUGAAAGUAAUUGGUUCAGUAAUCAACCUGAAGGUGGGAGGAAGAACUUAACAUCAGCACGAGGAAAUAAGAAACUGAAGUUUACAGCUGAGGCUCAGGCUGCUUUA
Non-coding RNA from Paralichthys olivaceus (Japanese flounder), 643 nucleotides. Lineage: Eukaryota; Metazoa; Chordata; Actinopteri; Pleuronectiformes; Paralichthyidae. The record is from RefSeq and is a predicted model, not a curated record.